RNAcentral lists this ribosomal RNA (428 nucleotides) under uncultured bacterium. RNAcentral describes it as "bacterial SSU rRNA". It matches the Rfam family "Bacterial small subunit ribosomal RNA", at positions 355 to 776 of the family's 1533-position model. The record is from RNAcentral.
UGGGGAAUUGUUCGCAAUGGGCGCAAGCCUGACGACGCAACGCCGCGUGGAGGAUGAAGGUCUUCGGAUUGUAAACUCCUGUUGCUCGGGACGAAAAGCUUCAACCUAAUACGUUGAAGUCUGACGGUACCGAGUGAGGAAGCCCCGGCUAACUCUGUGCCAGCAGCCGCGGUAAUACAGAGGGGGCAAGCGUUGUUCGGAAUUACUGGGCGUAAAGGGCGCGUAGGUGGCCUGUUAAGUCGAACGUGAAAUCCCUGGGCUCAACCCAGGAACUGCGUCCGAGACUGAUAGGCUCGAAUCCGGGAGAGGGAUGUGGAAUUCCAGGUGUAGCGGUGAAAUGCGUAGAUAUCUGGAGGAACACCGGUGGCGAAGGCGACAUCCUGGACCGGUAUUGACGCUGAGGCGCGAAAGCCAGGGGAGCAAACGGG